This is a long non-coding RNA of Aquila chrysaetos chrysaetos, 870 nucleotides long. RefSeq lists it as uncharacterized. The record is from RefSeq and is a predicted model, not a curated record. The transcript is spliced from 5 exons. Lineage: Eukaryota; Metazoa; Chordata; Aves; Accipitriformes; Accipitridae.
AGAAGGCACCACCACCACUACCACCACCUGGAAGCAGUAUUGGUUUCACCUGCUGAGCUAGCUUAGUCCUGCCAGGGAGGCAUUUAGGCUAUUGCUUUUAAGCUAGCCACUGUACCUACGGUGUUCUGUCUGCAUUAAGGCAUGGGAUUAGUAUGCUGGCUGGGUUGGAUUUCAUGAUAUGUCCUCUUUUAUGCACCCACAGAGGUUUGUGGCAUCGAAGUAGCAAACAGAGAGGGGCAGAAGAUAAUGCAUGUUUUCCUGCCUGAUUCUUCCGAGGAUGGAAUAAUGAUGGAAGUGAACUCCCUAUGCAUCAAGUUUCCAGGUCCCAGAUGGAGUAUGCGGUGCAAAGAGAGUCUGGAGGGGAGAGGCUCUUCCUAAUCUAAAAACUGCAGGAGACCUGCUGUGGUUCAGGCUUGAAUCUGAAUGUGGAUCUUCUGCAUCCUAACUGAAUGUCGCCGGUUUCAGGCUGUUCCUUAGGAGAUUCGCUUUUCUGGAUCAGAGCAAGAGAAAUUUCAAGCAACAGUUCUUGGAAAACAUAUGGAGAUCAGCCUGGGAGUUUUGUAAGGUAGAGGCAUUUAUUUGUCUGGCAGAAGGCUGUUCAUGGCUGCAGGAGGCAGCUCCGCCAUUGCAGGCAGCGUGGAUGGCUGUGGGUGGCUCCUCCUCAGCUGGGGCAGAUGUAAUUCCCAGAGUGAAAGCCAAGAUCACCCUCUCGUUUUGUUGCUAUUGAUUCGUUACAACGUUUGUGGUCUAAUGCUUACUAUUUGUGAGAAGCCACAUUGCAUAAAUAAAGCUGCCACCUCUGCCUUGAAAUGAAGUCGUGAUCCAGUGAAUAAUGGAUCGCUAAUCUCAUUUGAGACAAAAACCUCAAUG